Molecule: ribosomal RNA, 497 nt
Filed under: uncultured bacterium
Lineage: Bacteria
Description: partial 16S ribosomal RNA
Rfam family: Bacterial small subunit ribosomal RNA
Source: RNAcentral
UCUUCUCUCUGGCGGCGUGCCUAAUACAUGCAAGUCGAGCGAACGGACGAGAAGCUUGCUUUUCUGAUGUUAGCGGCGGACGGGUGAGUAACACGUGGAUAACCUACCUAUAAGACUGGGAUAACUUCGGGAAACCGGAGCUAAUACCGGAUAAUAUUUUGAACCGCAUGGUUCAAAAGUGAAAGACGGUCUUGCUGUCACUUAUAGAUGGAUCCGCGCUGCAUUAGCUAGUUGGUAAGGUAACGGCUUACCAAGGCAACGAUGCAUAGCCGACCUGAGAGGGUGAUCGGCCACACUGGAACUGAGACACGGUCCAGACUCCUACGGGAGGCAGCAGUAGGGAAUCUUCCGCAAUGGGCGAAAGCCUGACGGAGCAACGCCGCGUGAGUGAUGAAGGUCUUCGGAUCGUAAAACUCUGUUAUUAGGGAAGAACAUAUGUGUAAGUAACUGUGCACAUCUUGACGGUACCUAAUCAGAAAGCCACGGCUAACUACGUG